Molecule: unclassified non-coding RNA, 520 nt
Filed under: uncultured Glomeromycotina
Lineage: Eukaryota; Fungi; Glomeromycota
Description: SSU rRNA
Rfam family: Eukaryotic small subunit ribosomal RNA
Source: RNAcentral
CCAAUAGCGUAUAUUAAAGUUGUUGCAGUUAAAAAGCUCGUAGUUGAAUUUCGGGAUCAAUAUAUCGGUCGUGCCAUUGGUACGUACUGGUAUCAUUGGUUUCUCCUUUCUGACGAACCAUGAUGUCAUUAAUUUGGUGUUAUGGGAAGUUAGGACUGUUACUUUGAAAAAAUUAGAGUGUUUAAAGCAGGCUUUAGCUUGAAUACAUUAGCAUGGAAUAAUGAAAUAGGACGUUCGAACCUAUUUUGUUGGUUUCUAGGAUCAACGUAAUGAUUAAUAGGGAUAGUUGGGGGCAUUAGUAUUCAAUUGUCAGAGGUGAAAUUCUUGGAUUUAUUGAAGACUAACUACUGCGAAAGCAUUUGCCAAGGAUGUUUUCAUUAAUCAAGAACGAAAGUUAGGGGAUCGAAGACGAUCAGAUACCGUCGUAGUCUUAACCAUAAACUAUGCCGACUAGGGAUCGGAUGAUGUUAAUUUUUUAAUGACUCAUUCGGCGCCUUACGGGAAACAAAGUGUUUGGGUU